Molecule: RNA transcript, 1513 nt
Organism: Gadus macrocephalus (Pacific cod)
Lineage: Eukaryota; Metazoa; Chordata; Actinopteri; Gadiformes; Gadidae
Gene: cdk1
Gene name: cyclin dependent kinase 1
Exons: 9
Source: RefSeq, a predicted model, not a curated record
AGGCAUCGGGACGGCCGAUUGGCCUCUUUUUUUGAACCAUCGUUGGCGGCGUCCAUUUCAUACCAGUCGUUAGAUUAGAGACGUCUAGUUAGAGGACUCUGAGUCGUUACAUUGCUGAUUUUAUCCUGUUUCUUCACUUCAUCGAGUCUCAACCGCAGUAAGCUAUGGAUGACUACCUGAAAAUCGAGAAGAUCGGAGAAGGGACCUACGGCGUGGUCUACAAGGGCAGACACAAGAGCACGGGCCAGAUCGUUGCCAUGAAGAAGAUCCGCCUGGAGAGCGAGGAAGAGGGGGUCCCCAGCACGGCCGUCCGCGAGAUCUCCCUGCUCAAGGAGCUCCAGCACCCCAACGUGGUCCAGCUACUGGACGUCCUGAUGCAGGAGUCGCGCCUCUACCUCAUCUUCGAGUUCCUGUCCAUGGACCUGAAGAAGUACCUGGACUCCAUCCCGUCCGGCGAGUACAUGGACACCAUGCUGGUCAAGAGCUACCUGUACCAGAUCCUGGAGGGCAUCCAGUUCUGCCACUGCCGGCGGGUUCUGCACCGUGACCUGAAGCCCCAGAACCUGCUCAUCGACAACAAGGGCGUGAUCAAGCUGGCCGACUUCGGCCUGGCGCGGGCCUUCGGCGUCCCCAUCCGCGUCUACACGCACGAGGUGGUGACCCUGUGGUACCGGGCCCCCGAGGUCCUGCUUGGCUCGGCGCGCUACGCGACGCCGGUGGACGUGUGGAGCAUCGGCACCAUCUUCGCCGAGCUGGCCACCAAGAAGCCCCUGUUCCACGGGGACUCAGAGAUAGACCAGCUCUUCCGCAUCUUCAGGACCCUCGGGACCCCCAACAACGACAUCUGGCCAGAGGUGGAGUCCCUGCCCGACUACAAGAACACCUUCCCCAAGUGGAAGGCGGGGAACCUGGCCGCCAUGGUGAAGAACCUGGACAAGAACGGCCUCGACCUGCUGGCCAAAACUCUGAUCUACAACCCGCCCAAAAGGAUCUCGGCCCGCCAGGCCAUGGCCCACCCCUACUUUGACGACCUGGACAAGUCUACGCUGCCGGCCAGCUCCACCCAGAUCUGAGCCCCGCACCUCCACCAUGAUUUGAGCACCAUACCUCCACCCAGAUUUGAGCCCCCUACCUCCACCCAGAUCUGAGCUCAGCUCCUCCACCCAGAUCUGAGCUCAGCUCCUCCACCCAGAUCUGAGCCCCCCUCACCCCCACCCAGAUCUGAGCCCCCUCACCCCCACCCAGAUCGGAGCCCCUCACCCCCACCCAGAUCUGAGCCCCCUCACCCCCACCCAGAUCGGAGCCCCCCAAGCUCCACUCAGAUCUGAGCCCCCCACCUCCACCCAGAUCUGAGCUCUAUUCAGCACCGCCCGAUUCUUAUCGCAGCCCCGACCGGGACUGAGCCCAGCUCCUCGCCUCGCAACCUUGUUUCUUUCAAUGUUUUUGGAGUAUUCUUGUAAAUAUUUUAAUGGUUGUUUGUUUCAUAACCUAGUAAAGUUCCUUUUUAACCAUA